RNAcentral lists this long non-coding RNA (758 nucleotides) under Felis catus (domestic cat). RNAcentral's name for it is "lncRNA (ENSFCAG00000047166.1)". Lineage: Eukaryota; Metazoa; Chordata; Mammalia; Carnivora; Felidae. The record is from RNAcentral.
GUCUCAGUUUCCUCGCCUAUAAAAUGGGGUAAGAAUGGGGUCACCCCCUAGGGCUGCGAUGACAAUUGCAUGAGUUAAUAUAUGGAAAAUGCUAAAAGCAGUGCCCAGGACAUAGUAAGCACCCAACAAACGGUAAGAUAUUCUUUAUUAUUUUAAUUUUAUAGCUAUUAAAACGAAUUGUGGGCCAGUGAGGAGAAGUGAUUUAGUCAGCGCCUCGGUUUUCAUAAACAACGGAGCAGACAUUUACAAAGGAUGCACACCAAGCCAUCAAGUGUCUUUGGCAAGGGGCGUGGAUUUGGGAAAGAGAGAGGGCCUCGGUAAAGUGACAGCGUUCUCUUUACUCAAGCAUCUGAUAAAAUCUGGAAAAUAUCAGGGAGGAUCCGAGGGUUCCGUCACCUUCUUCUCCUUAGUGGCAGAAAAAAAAAAGAAAAAGAAAAAGAAAAAGAAAAAAAAGAAAAUCACUGCAUUUUUAACAAAACUGUCAGGAGCUGAUUAUAUAGUUUGUAGCCCAUCCUUUCCGACUCCUUGCAUUUGACCGUUUUUCUGCACAUUGUCACGGAGCCCAAAGAAACAAACAAAGAGAUGUUGUAAGCCGAAGUUGCUGCUCCUUAAAAGCAAUACAAAAUGAUAAUAAUAAUAAUAGAGAAUGUCUUUUGAGCCUUUGCUAUGCGUCAAGUACUUUACCAAGAUCACUGGUUGAGGGGUGAGGGUGGUUCUGCCCCACAGGGAACAUUUGGCAAUGCCUGGAGAUAUUCACU